RNAcentral lists this transfer RNA (73 nucleotides) under Acinetobacter baumannii BJAB07104. RNAcentral describes it as "tRNA-Val". Lineage: Bacteria; Pseudomonadati; Pseudomonadota; Gammaproteobacteria; Moraxellales; Moraxellaceae. The record is from RNAcentral.
UGCCAAAAUUGUUCUGCUUUAAAUACAUCAUUUAAGAUGAAUUUCAUAUCAGCUAAAGGAGCAUUGUAAAUUG